Molecule: ribosomal RNA, 253 nt
Filed under: uncultured bacterium
Lineage: Bacteria
Description: partial 16S ribosomal RNA
Rfam family: Bacterial small subunit ribosomal RNA
Source: RNAcentral
UACGAAGGGUGCAAGCGUUACUCGGAAUUACUGGGCGUAAAGCGUGCGUAGGUGGUUUGUUAAGUCUGAUGUGAAAGCCCUGGGCUCAACCUGGGAAUUGCAUUGGAUACUGGCAGGCUAGAGUGCGGUAGAGGAUGGCGGAAUUCCCGGUGUAGCGGUGAAAUGCGCAGAUAUCAGGAGGAACACCGGUGGCGAAGGCGGGUCUCUGGGCCGAAAUUGACGCUGAGGAGCGAAAGCGUGGGGAGCAAACAGG